This is a long non-coding RNA of Canis lupus familiaris (dog), 1172 nucleotides long. RefSeq lists it as uncharacterized. The record is from RefSeq and is a predicted model, not a curated record. The transcript is spliced from 5 exons. NCBI's taxonomy places the organism in Eukaryota, Metazoa, Chordata, Mammalia, Carnivora, Canidae.
AGCAAACAGCUUGUUUGUGAUAACAGGCCCUGCCUGCCGGCCGAUGUCUGAGCCUAAUGCUCUCACGUCGGCGGGCGCCGGGAGCCGACGUCCCCGCUUUGUCAACCGUCCCACAGAUGCGGUGCCUCGUCUCAAGAUAACAAUGACAGCGACCAUAAUACCUUUAAUAGAGGAUUUGCAGGCAACCUUGCAAUAACUCCACUCUCCCCCAGGGGUCUGGAAGACAACAGGUUGGCGAUGACUUAUCUAAAAAAUGGAUGGACAGCAAAUACUUCAGGCAAUGCUCCAUAAAUAUUGUUUCUCUCUGCAGAGCUUGCGAAAGAAAGAGAGUGUGUGUGAGUGGGGCAGAGGGAAGGUAGAGACCUCAAGCCAACUCCAAGCCCAGAGCAGAGCCCGAUGCACGACUCGAAUCUCAGGACCCAGAGAUUAUGACCUGAGCCAAAAUCAAGAGCCAGACGCUCAACCGACGGAGCCACGCAGGAUAACUGCUCCCCUGAGUCUGACACACCGACUUCGUGCUUCAAAAAAGGGAGAUUAAGCAAAGAAAGGCCAAGACGUUAGUCACACACACAUGCCCAUAGAAACCUCAAUAAACUGGACGUGAGUGAGAAAGUUGAAACGAUGUCUGUAUAUCCAUACCUAUGGAUAUUUCAAAAUCGGAGCUUCUGGAUCUCAGGAACACAAUAGCACAGCAACAUUUUUAUGGCAAAGCAGCCUGAAUUCCUGUGAUAAAUAAUUCUCAGUCCCACACAGCAGGAGUCUUUAAGAAUCUCUGCUUUAAUAACAGGAGAGUUUAAUUACAAAGCCAAUGAGUUAUGAUCGACGCUCCCAGCCUCCUCCACCCCAGCUCCCAACACCCGAUACCGCAGCUGCAUACACAAAUUGUGAGACCCACAAGAACAAAGCUUUUCAUGUCUUUUGUUUCCAAUGCCUACAACAUGGUCAUAUCCAACAAAUAGAUAUUGAAUCACUCAAUGAACAAAUAAGAAAAUACAUUUUCAUCAGAGGCAUGAGGAGCCCUAAGUGUCAUGACAAGUCGAGACUUGAUCCUGAGGGCAAGACCAAAUGAUGAAAAAGAUGGGAUUAAAAAACCCUCAAUAGGGGAAACGAUUCCUGACAUUUGACCGGGCAAUGAUUUCUUGGACAAAAAAAAAAAAAAAAAGACAACAAAG